Molecule: long non-coding RNA, 429 nt
Filed under: Homo sapiens (human)
Lineage: Eukaryota; Metazoa; Chordata; Mammalia; Primates; Hominidae
Description: non-protein coding lnc-STIM2-13:1
Source: RNAcentral
UACUCUCUCACUCAUUGAAAAUAUGCAUUUUUGCAACCUUUCAGAAAAUCUAUUUGACACCAUAUAAGAGGAAUCUUAAAACAUGUAAUCCUGUUGAUUCAAUAAUGCCAAUGAUUCCAUGUAUAGCAACAUAUUUUAAACAAAUAAUCACAGAUGCAGAUGCCUAAUAAAAAUAUUAUUUGCUUAUAUAUGUUAGAGUUUUAAUGUGGCACUAACCUAAAUACCCAAUUGGGGAAUAGAUUAACAAAUUAUGCAAUAAUCACAAGAUGUAAUACCCUACAACAAAUAAAAAUGUGCUCUGAAAGUUUUAUUAUCAUUCUUAUUAUUAUUUGAUUAUACACCUACCCUAUGACUCUGCCACUCAGCCAUUCUACUCCUAGGCAUUUACCCAAGAGAAAUGAAAGCAUAUCUUUACAUAAAGACUUCUAU